Molecule: ribosomal RNA, 108 nt
Filed under: uncultured bacterium
Lineage: Bacteria
Description: partial 16S ribosomal RNA
Rfam family: Bacterial small subunit ribosomal RNA
Source: RNAcentral
AAGAAGGCCUUCGGGUUGUAAAGCCCUUUUGUACGGGAAGAAAAGCUACGGGUGAAUACUCCGUGGUCAUGACGGUACCGUAAGAAUAAGCACCGGCUAACUUCGUGU